This is a long non-coding RNA of Aedes aegypti (yellow fever mosquito), 664 nucleotides long. RefSeq lists it as uncharacterized. NCBI's taxonomy places the organism in Eukaryota, Metazoa, Arthropoda, Insecta, Diptera, Culicidae. The transcript is spliced from 3 exons. The record is from RefSeq and is a predicted model, not a curated record.
UAAAUGUACACUUCUUGCAAAUUUGCGAAUCAUGGCUUGCUCAAACGAUUGUCUUUGUCAAAGUGUCAAACUUGUCAUUCCACAAACUUGCUGCCUCGACCAAAAUAAGUUGAAUCAAAAGCCUUAUAGCGCUUUCUGAUGGUCGGCCAUUGGACUUCGAAUACUUAGAUAACGAAGUUCCAAACCUUUUCCUGGACAGUUAAGCCCGAGAACAUAUUGAACUAGAGGAGCGAGUGUCUAAGGUCCAGAGUCAUCAGCCAUGUUGUUCUGGUUUUCCAUCCUGUCGGGAUUACUGUAGGUACGAAAUUGGACAAGGAGGAUUUCUGUAACAAGAUCAAGCUUAAGAUAAUCACCGUGAUUGUGGGCUGUCUGUGUGCUCAACAAGGAAGAAAAUUUGUCCAGAAGUGGAAUGGUGGAUUGAGUUCUCUUCGUUCAAGAGUUUUCGUUAUCACGUUAAAAAUGCCCCUGAAGUCUGGAGACCCGAAGGCUGGCCAGUAUCGUCAUCUGGAUGAUUGUACACUAAUUCCAGUCAAGAAUCUUUUCCACUGACAGUAGUACACGCGUGGACUUAACAAAGAAAAAUGUGACAGAUUCAAGGCAUGGCUCGAUCCGGAGAGAUUACUACCAGUAUAGGAAAUAAAAUGAAUUAUUUAUUUGGUCAAAA